CAACUCAAUUACUCUACCACCGAGAAGGAGCUUCUAGCCGUAGUCUUUGCCUUAGAAAAGUUUCGUUCUUAUCUUAUCGGGUCCAAAAUCAUUGUUUACACCGACCAUGCCGCUCUUAAGUACCUUUUCUCUAAGAAAGACUCAAAAGCCCGAUUAAUUAGAUGGAUAUUGUUGCUCCAAGAGUUUGACUUAGAGAUUAGGGAUAAGAAAGGUUGUGAGAAUGUCGUCGCCGAUCAUCUCUCUCGAUUAGUGGUUGAGUCCACUAACGACUUGCCCUUGAGCGAGUCCUUUCCCGACGAUUCACAAGUGAGUGUGUUCAUGCCUACGAAGACCUUAAGAGAGAAUUGACUUCGGCCCCGAUCAUGAAGUCUCCCGAUUGGAGUCAACCUUUUGAGCUUAUGUGUGACGCAUCCGAUUAUGCCAUAGGAGCGGUUUUAGGACAACGAAUAGAUAAGAGGCCUCAUGUCAUUUACUACGCUAGUAAGACCUUAAAUGAUGCCCAACUCAAUUACUCUACCACCGAGAAGGAACUUCUAGCCGUAGUCUUUGCCUUAGAAAAGUUUCGCUCUUAUCUUAUCGGGUCCAAAAUCAUUGUUUACACCGACCAUGCCGCUCUCAAGUACCUUUUCUCUAAAAAAGACUCAAAAGCCCGAUUGAUUAGAUGGGUAUUGUUACUCCAAGAGUUUGACUUAGAGAUUAGGGAUAAGAAAGGUUGUGAGAAUGUCGUCGCCGAUCAUCUCUCUCGAUUAGUGGUUGAAUCCACUAACGACUUGCCCUUAAGCGAGUCAUUUCCCGACGAACACCUUCUCUCAAUUUCCACUCUCCCUUGGUUCGCCGACAUAGUCAAUUACUUAGCAACCGGUGACAUUCCCUCGACAUGGUCCAAGAAUGAUAAAGCCAAGUUCUUUUCUCAAGUGAAACAUUUCUUUUGGGACGACCCAUAUCUCUUUAAGCAUUGUCCAGAUCAAAUCAUUAGGAGGUGUGUCCCAAAUAGUUCGCUAGUAAGACCUUAAAUGAUGCCCAACUCAAUUACUCUACCACCGAGAAGGAACUUCUAGCCGUAGUCUUUGCCUUAGAAAAAUUUCGCUCUUAUCUUAUCGGGUCCAAAAUCAUUGUUUACACCGACCAUGCCGCUCUUAAGUACCUUUUCUCUAAAAAAGACUCAAAAGCCCGAUUGAUUAGAUGGGUGUUGUUGCUCCAAGAGUUUGACUUAGAGAUUAGGGAUAAGAAAGGUUGUGAGAAUGUCGUCGCCGAUCAUCUCUCUCGAUUAGUGGUUGAAUCCACUAACGACUUGCCCUUAAGCGAGUCAUUUCCCGACGAACACCUUCUCUCAAUUUCCACUCUCCCUUGGUUCGCCGACAUAGUCAAUUACUUAGCAACCGGUGACAUUCCCUCGACAUGGUCCAAGAAUGAUAAAGCCAAG
This 1423-nucleotide long non-coding RNA is filed under the name Daucus carota (carrot). RNAcentral's name for it is "long non-coding RNA (DCAR_LNC003637)". The record is from RNAcentral. Lineage: Eukaryota; Viridiplantae; Streptophyta; Magnoliopsida; Apiales; Apiaceae.